AAGGAGGAUGCCCUGUGAUGGCAUAGUGGAGAGUAAUUGUUGACUGUUGCCUCCCAUAGUGAUGGGGCAGGGAUAGACCUAAGUCCUCCCUGCUGUUGAACAUAGCAAACAAGCUGCCCAUUUGAUUCCAGAUGUUUCUUCCCCCCAUUCCUUCCUAAACUUCCUUUUUUAAAAAAACAAAAGCUAUGGGACCUCCCAGGAGCAAAUGACAGCAUGGAUUUCUCUUUCUCCUGAAAACCAGGACAUUGAGUUUAUGAGAUCUUUCUUAUUUCUGCUGGCUCUGGUCAUACAUCUCCUAGCUCCUGUGGUUAAUUUACAGUCUACUGAAGAAAUAUCUUUCAGAAAACUCUACUUGGCUGGCUGUUCAGUUGAAAAUGUCUGGCAUCUGGAAAAGAGAAUUGUUACUGGAUACCUCCAUCUUGAUAACCUUAAAUAUUCACUUAUAAGAGGACAUUCUGAUUUGGACAUGUUGAGUUUGAGAUUCCUACAGUAUGAUGAACAUGAUGGCAAUCUUCUUAUGUGACCUGCUGAGAAAACAGUGUCCAUUCCAUUCCAUGAUCAUGCAAAGUCACCAUCUCCAUCUAUCGUCCAGCUUUCCUAGCAAUUUUUUUCAAUUCAGAGUUCAUGGAGUUAUAUGUUAAAUAUAAGAGUUAAGAAUUAAUCCACUUCAGGUAUUUAGAAUACAUAUGCCUAGUUAGGACCACCUGCACAGCUAAGCUUUGUGUUCCAUCUUUAUACUUUGUUUUUAAAACCCUUACCUUACAUCUUGGAAUCAAUACUGUGUAUUGGUUCCAAGGCAGAAGAGUGACAAGGGCUAGGGAAUGGGGGUUAAGUGACUUGCUCAGGGUCACACAGUUGGGAAGUGUCUGAGGUCAGAUUUGAACCUAGGACCUUCCCUCUCUCAAUCCACUGAGCUACCCAGCUUCCCCUUUGUACUUCAUUUUUUUUUUAAUUUCUGAGAACAGUGUUCUUGGGGACAUAGAAACUAUCUUGAAAAAUGUUAAGCAUUUUUUAAAUAGUAAAUAUGGGAACUAGCUUAAAACUGAAUUAAAACUUUUGGAAUACCCUGUAUUAUAUAAAAAGAUAUUAUCUUUGCUUAGUUUUUGAGAGACAGCAGGGGAUGCUCCCCCUAGGAAUACAAAUCAUCAUUAGUUCAACAAUUUAUAAUCUUGGACAUAGAAAGUUGCCUGAGGUAUUGAGAGGUUCAGUGACUUAGUCAGCAAGUGUCACAAAUGAGAUCUAAACUUGGGCUUUUCUUUUACUGAGGCCAAGACUCUAUCCACUAUAGGAAUAUAGCCACUAUUAUUUUUUAUUUUGCUCCUUUUUCAAGAGCAGUUACCUAUGACACCUCUUUUUAAAAGAAAUACAUAUAUAAACUAGACCUUUCAUGUGUUUUGUUUAUCAGUUCUUUGUCUGG
This 1417-nucleotide long non-coding RNA is filed under the name Monodelphis domestica (gray short-tailed opossum). Its description in RNAcentral is "lncRNA (ENSMODG00000038035.1)". The record is from RNAcentral. Lineage: Eukaryota; Metazoa; Chordata; Mammalia; Didelphimorphia; Didelphidae.